AUACAACUGACGAGUCCCAAAUUGGACGAGACGCUCGUCCUGUAU
This 45-nucleotide non-coding RNA is filed under the name Schistosoma mansoni. The record is from RNAcentral. Lineage: Eukaryota; Metazoa; Platyhelminthes; Trematoda; Strigeidida; Schistosomatidae.